CCAAAACCCAAAACCCAAACCGAUUGAAUUAUAGCCGCAAUUCAAGUCAGCAAAACCCUAAAUAUUCUUCUAUCAUCCCCUACAAAACCCUAACCCCUCUUUUCAAUUUCAUCACCCCUCUAAUUCUCUAUCCUCUCAGCAUUCCGCUCUUCUAUCAAAUCCCCGCUUAAAUCCCCUGAAUUAGGUUUCUGGUAUUCAUAUCGACGGAAAGUUCAACAACAAAUGCAAAUUCGUCGGAAUUUUUAGCGUCGGAAAGUUUUUCAAUUGCAAUAUCUUCCUUUUGGUUGAUAAUGAGAUGUACAGGGAUUGCUUGUUUUCUGUUAUGCUAGUUGGAAGCAUAUUUGUGCAUAGGCUGUGAAUGUGUAUUGGUUGAGAAUUGCCUGAAGAAAAUGACAGAUGCUGCUGAAGCUUGAAAGCGGAUUUCUUUUUAAUGCGGAUGAGGCUCUGGUUGCUAUUGAAGGAUGUUCUUCAUUUGUAGUUUACCAUGUAAUUUUAUAGAUUAGACUUUUGUUUGUGUUAAUUUUGUAGUGUAAAAUACUGUUGAGCAUUUUGAAGAAUUGUUACAAGCUUCAAUUUCUACUACAUAUUAAUGUAAAAACUUUGUACUCCGUAUUAUUCAAUACAAUCUCCUAAUUUUUUCAA
Molecule: long non-coding RNA, 642 nt
Organism: Chenopodium quinoa (quinoa)
Lineage: Eukaryota; Viridiplantae; Streptophyta; Magnoliopsida; Caryophyllales; Amaranthaceae
Exons: 2
Source: RefSeq, a predicted model, not a curated record